UAUUUUGAUUUAAUUAAAAAUUUAAUUUUUUUUUUGUGUAUAUUCUUUUUAAUUUAAGGAAUUUUAUUAUUGUGUUGUUUAAGUAAAAUUUAUUGAAUAAAUUAUAUAAUUUAUAGUUAAUUAGUAUUGUGAAAGAAUAUUGAAAUAUAUUGAAAAUGUUAUUUUUGUAAAGUAAAUUGUGGUUGUACCUUGUGUAUCAGGGUUAAUUAAUUAAUUGUUAUUUAUUUAAUAAUCCCGAUUUGAAGAGAGUUAAUGUAAUAUUUUAGUUAAUGUUUUAUAAUUAUUAAUAAUAUUAUGUUGGUAAUGAAAUGUUAUUCGAUCUUUAAUAUAUCUGGUUUUCUAAGAAUUGAAUUUAAUUCAGUUAUUAAUUUUAAAUUAUUGAUUUAAUUAAUAAUUUGUAUAGUUAAUAGUAAAAAUUUGGGGGAUAAGCUCUGAAUUUUAUUUUAAAAAUAUUUAAUUUAUAUAAAAAAAAAGUAGGCUUUAAAUUAGCUUUCUUUUGAAUAUGUUAUAAUUCAUUUAUGUUAAAUGUAAUUGAUGAUUUUAUAAAAAUUUUAAGUGUUGUAUUAGAAUAGUUUUAAUAAUAAUUUAUAAUUUGUAAUAAUGAUUAAAUUAGUAUAAUAAAUAAUGUUUAAUUAAAUUUUAUUUAAUUAAUUUAUAAUAAGGAAUUAGGCAAAAAUAAUACUCGCCUGUUUAACAAAAACAUGUCUUUAUGUUUAAUUGAAUUUAUAAAGUCUGGCCUGCCCACUGAAAUUAUUUGAAGGGCCGCGGUAUUUUGACCGUGCAAAGGUAGCAUAAUCAUUAGUCUUUUAAUUGAAGGCUGGUAUGAAUGGUUUAACGAGGUAUUAACUGUCUCAUUAUAAAAUUUUGAAUUUAACUUUUUAGUCAAAAGGCUAAAAUAAAUUUAGAGGACGAGAAGACCCUAUAGAGCUUUAUAUUUAAGUUAAAUAAUUAAUUUUAGUAAUUUAAUUUAAUUUUUUAAUUAAAUUAUUUAGUUGGGGUGACUUGAAGAUUAAAUAAACUCUUUAUUUAAUAAACAUUAAUUUAUGGUAAAUUGAUCCAUUAUUGGUGAUUAGAAGAUUAAGUUACCUUAGGGAUAACAGCGUAAUUUUUUUUAAGAGUUCUUAUCAACAAGAAAGAUUGCGACCUCGAUGUUGGACUAAGGAAUAUUAUUGGGUGUAGAAGUUUAAUAAAUGGGUCUGUUCGACCCUUAAAUCCUUACAUGAUCUGAGUUCAGACCGGCGUAAGCCAGGUCGGUUUCUAUCCUUAAUUAAUUGAAGUAUUUUAGUACGAAAGGACCAAAUAUUUAAAAAAUUUUUAUAUAAUAUGAUUAUUAUUAAAUUAAGUUU
This 1346-nucleotide ribosomal RNA is filed under the name Anabropsis tonkinensis. Its description in RNAcentral is "16S ribosomal RNA". The stretch from base 641 to 1346 matches the Rfam family "Archaeal large subunit ribosomal RNA", at positions 1423 to 2824 of the family's 2987-position model. Lineage: Eukaryota; Metazoa; Arthropoda; Insecta; Orthoptera; Anostostomatidae. The record is from RNAcentral.